RNAcentral lists this ribosomal RNA (727 nucleotides) under uncultured bacterium. RNAcentral describes it as "bacterial SSU rRNA". It matches the Rfam family "Bacterial small subunit ribosomal RNA", at positions 771 to 1498 of the family's 1533-position model. The record is from RNAcentral.
AACAGGAUUAGAUACCCUGGUAGUCCACGCCGUAAACGAUGUCGACUUGGAGGUUGCUCCCUUGAGGAGUGGCUUCCGGAGCUAACGCGUUAAGUCGACCGCCUGGGGAGUACGGCCGCAAGGUUAAAACUCAAAUGAAUUGACGGGGGCCCGCACAAGCGGUGGAGCAUGUGGUUUAAUUCGAUGCAACGCGAAGAACCUUACCUACUCUUGACAUCCAGAGAACUUGGCAGAGAUGCCUUGGUGCCUUCGGGAACUCUGAGACAGGUGCUGCAUGGCUGUCGUCAGCUCGUGUUGUGAAAUGUUGGGUUAAGUCCCGCAACGAGCGCAACCCUUAUCCUUUGUUGCCAGCGAUUCGGUCGGGAACUCAAAGGAGACUGCCGGUGAUAAACCGGAGGAAGGUGGGGAUGACGUCAAGUCAUCAUGGCCCUUACGAGUAGGGCUACACACGUGCUACAAUGGCGCAUACAAAGAGAAGCGACCUCGCGAGAGCAAGCGGACCUCAUAAAGUGCGUCGUAGUCCGGAUCGGAGUCUGCAACUCGACUCCGUGAAGUCGGAAUCGCUAGUAAUCGUGGAUCAGAAUGCCACGGUGAAUACGUUCCCGGGCCUUGUACACACCGCCCGUCACACCAUGGGAGUGGGUUGCAAAAGAAGUAGGUAGCUUAACCUCCGGGAGGGCGCUUACCACUUUGUGAUUCAUGACUGGGGUGAAGUCGUAACAAGGUA